UAAAUUUACCCACACAUGGGAUCAAUAGGAUACCAUAACGAUGAAGGUCGUAAUAGAAUACGAAAGUAUAUUAUUUACCUAAUUUAAUAUAUU
This 93-nucleotide ribosomal RNA is filed under the name Vairimorpha sp. sd. RNAcentral's name for it is "5.8S ribosomal RNA". Lineage: Eukaryota; Fungi; Microsporidia; Nosematidae. The record is from RNAcentral.